CCAAUAGCGUAUAUUAAAGUUGUUGCAGUUAAAAAGCUCGUAGUUGAAUUUCGGGAUCAAGGAAUCGGUCAUGCCUCGGUAUGUACUGGUUUUAUUGGUUCUCACCUUCUAAAGAACCAUAAUGUCAUUUAUUUGGUGUUAUGGGGAAUUAGGACUGUUACCUUGAAAAAAUUAGAGUGUUUAAAGCAAGCUUACGCUUGAAUACAUUAGCAUGGAAUAAUGAAAUAGGACAUCCGAUUCUAUUUUGUUGGUUUCUAGGAUCGAUGUAAUGAUUAAUAGGGAUAGUUGGGGGCAUUAGUAUUCAAUUGUCAGAGGUGAAAUUCUUGGGUUUAUUGAAGACUAACUACUGCGAAAGCAUUUGCCAAGGAUGUUUUCAUUAAUCAAGAACGAAAGUUAGGGGAUCGAAGACGAUCAGAUACCGUCGUAGUCUUAGCCAUAAACUAUGCUGACUAGGGAUCGGAUGAUGUUUAUUUUUUAGUGACUCAUUCGGCACCUUACG
RNAcentral lists this ribosomal RNA (499 nucleotides) under uncultured Glomeromycotina. RNAcentral describes it as "partial small subunit ribosomal RNA". It matches the Rfam family "Eukaryotic small subunit ribosomal RNA", at positions 591 to 1092 of the family's 1831-position model. The record is from RNAcentral. Lineage: Eukaryota; Fungi; Glomeromycota.